Long non-coding RNA from Alligator mississippiensis (American alligator), 4504 nucleotides. RefSeq lists it as uncharacterized. Lineage: Eukaryota; Metazoa; Chordata; Crocodylia; Alligatoridae. The transcript has 6 exons. The record is from RefSeq and is a predicted model, not a curated record.
CCCCCCGGCACAGCCGGCACGUGCCAGGCCGUUGAGGUGGGGGGAGGGGGCGGGGCUAUGGGGAACCCCGCCCCCCGCCUACGUCAGGCUGGGCUGGGGCUUCCCUGUGCCACCUGCUUGCCUUGCCCCUCCCCCACUGCCCCCACAGGGGACAGCCCGCGGCCUUGAGGGGGCAACCGCUCCACAGGGCAGCCCAGCACCCAGCGCCCUCCUGCUCCCUCCUGGCCCUGGCUAGCAUCCGGCAUGGGGGAGUGCAGGGACCGAGGGCAAGGAUGUGCCCUGUAGGGGUGGCCCCACGUCACUUAUCUGUCCUGGACCAGCCCCGCGCUGCUCAUGUGGUCCUUGGAGCUGGCCCUGCUUCGUUCAUCAGGCCCCGAGUGGUCCCACCCUGCUCAUCUGGCCCUGGAGCUGGUCCUGCACGGCUCAUCUGGCCCCCAGACUUGGCCCCACACCAUUCAUCAGGAUACGGAGUGAUCCCACACUCGUCUGGCUCUCGAGCUGGCCCCACACCAUUUAUCGGUACCCCGAGACUGAUCCCACACCACUCGUGGCCCUCAGCACCACACAAGUUUGUCGCCCCUGCGAGGGCUGCAGCGUGGCAGGGCGAGCGAUCUGUUCUGGCAUCUUUCAGUUCUGUUCUUUGUUAAAAGAGGAGAAGAGAUUCCACCCCACCCCCCACCCAAGCUCCAGCAUUUUCCACACCGGUGACGGUGAAGAGGACCCUGCAUCCUCAGCUGCUGAGGCUUGGCUCUGAGUUGCGAAGCCUGACGGGUUUCCUGCAGGAGCUGCGUAGGCUGAGCUCCCCCCCUCUGUAAGGUCAGCCAACAUCUGCAGCCUCUGCGUGGGAAUCCCAGCCGCGUUGCUUUUGAGAGCGUGGCACAGGCUGCGACUUUCCAUUAGCCGGAAUGAACCUGGUCGGAAGAAGCUCAAGUGUGCCAGCAUCUCUGAGAGUAAGUCUGUCACUGUCCAGAGAGGAGUGAGCUACAUCCUUUGAUACAUUGCAGUCUUUGUUCUGCAGUGCUGCAGUAAUCUUUCUCCAAAAAUAUUUGCAGUCAUUGCAGCCCCAGGUGGGGUUUUUAUUAAAAGAAAAAAAGGCACGGAAAAAAAAAUCUGAAUCUUUCCUCCUCCUGACUUAUGCUGUGAGCAUCUUUAUCCAGACACACGGCCCACUCAAUUCUACUGACUGGUAUUGAAAAGAGAAUAUCCCCCUGCUUUUUAAAGGCCUGCAGUUGUUUUGGGCCUCUCUCCAGGAAAUGACGGUUAUAUUAGCAUGAGAGCUGUCCUGUCGAGGCUUGGCAAAUGGAAGAAAAAAAGGAAGAACAACACAAAGCAAAGACCUAGACCUCAGCACCCUGGUAAAGAUUUGAAAGCACUCCAGAGUGUUGCAGCACCAUUAUUGAGAAUCACUGGCUUAGACACUGAACUUUAGAAUUCACAGGAGUAAUAUAAACUGCAGCAAGUGGAAGUAAAUCCAAGGCAUGAUGAGGUACAUAGUAUGGUGACACACAAACCCGUGCCAGGAACCUUCUGACUUUUCUGAAUAUCUAACAAAUGUCAUUGCUAAAUAAUAGAAGCCAGAGUAUCCAGGAGACAUUUUAAAAUAUUUUUACCUGACGAACAGCUCCAACCAUUUCGGCACGGCUAGACAGUCGAGCAGCUAAACGAUGCAGUACAGCAAUAUCCUCUAACAGCUUCUGGUAAGCUUCCCUGUGCUCAUAGUGAUGCCAUAAGGCAGCUGAAGACUGAAAUGAGAGAAUGUACAUCAACCUGUGACUUGAAAUUUUUAGGGGCAAAUACACAGAACAUACACAUUUGCAAUACUGUUCCAACUGAGGCCUAUCAACAACUUUAAAGAAAAUAUACCCCAUAUCGCAAUUAGUAUUCACCAACUCUUUCCAAAAUAUACAGAUCACUUGAUCUUGCUAGUCUAGUAGGUAGGCAUCAAUAAACUUUUCACUUCUAAUUUAAUUUACUUAAAAAAAACACCCCUAUCACUGUUAACUUCGCUUUAACUCAGAAGGAAAAGAGCAAUAAUAACUAGUAUGACAUUAGUAUGGCCUAAAAAAAAAUUACUAUUCCACAGAUAGGUUUGGAGUUGGAUCAGAAAUACUAGUAUUUAUUCGUUAAUUAUGACUGAACUGAACUCACUUUGCUAAGCCUGACUCCAAAUGAGAAAAUCAGGUAAUGCACAUGACUUCUACGUGGUUAUUCACACACUUUAAGUCAAGUACUCUUUAUGUGUUUUUUGGAACUGGGGCCUUUGUGAAAGGCUGUUUUCUGUAUUAGUACAGUUAUUUAUGAUAACCUUUAAUUCUUUGUAAACAUUGUUUACAUGAGAAUGACCCUAUACCCUCAUGCUGCAGAGCUGCUAAAAUCUUGACCCAGACUUUGUGAUGUUAGAUACCAACCUCUUUGGAUAGAGCAGGAUAUAAAUCUAAACAGAAACAACAACAACAACAACAACAAUUCCUAUGUACUAUGUUGCUAGCAUGUUCAAACAGUACAAGACUGCAGGCCAAUGGAAGACACUCUGAAUGAGAAAUAAACAAGCCCCUGCGAUUCAGAUUUUAUUUAUAGUUUAUCAUUUGUUUAUUUAUUUAAAGUUGGAAAAAAACACCUAAACUAUUCCUUCUAGCGAACCAUUUACCGUACAGGCAGUCCUCGGACUUACGACACAAUUGGUUCCUGAAAACCGCAUCUUAAGUCAAAACGUCGUAACUUUGAACCAAUUUUCUUAUAUGAAACAAUGUUAUGAAUGGGGGAUUGGCUCCUGAACCAAGGCCCAAUACCUUGUUUUCACCAAAAAUACCCCAGAAUUUUGUAUUCGAUCAAUUAUAGAUGAGUAAUAUAGCUACAUUAAUGUAUUUAUAUUGUAAAUAGCAAUCAUAUUGAUUUGGAAGGACUUCUUUGAGGUGACUUUGCUGGACUUUUUGAAAGGCUCUUGGACUUUUUGAAGGGUCCUUGGCUGGAGUCUUCUCAGGAGUCUUGGCUGCAGGUUUUUCUGGAGUCUUGUCUGCUUUCUUAAAGAAAGUGUCCGAGGAAGUUUGGACAGAGGUUCUCUAGGGAGAUGAGCAACGCAGCGAACUUGUUCGCUGGCAUGGUGUCACAUCGGAUCAAGCGUUGUAAAGUCGAAACUGACGUCAUAAAGUUGAAACAGGGUGUCAAUUUAUAAACUUUGUAAGUGCGGAACAUUGUAACUCGAAAAAUUGUAACUAGAGGACUGCCUGUAUUGCCCAACCCAACCAUUCAACUAUGAUGGGUCAGGCCCACAAGAAUCUUGAGACUGAAGAAUGAGAUUAAAAAAAAAAAAUAAAAAAAUAACUCCUGACUUUUUAAGUCAUAGUCUGGCCUUUAAGAUACUAGGUUACAUUUAAGUCAAUUUUUCAAAAUUCUCUCUGGAAUGAUCUAGACCAGUGGUGCUCAAGUUUUUGGCCCUACAAGCCAGAUGAGUUUCGCAAGGCCUAUGUGCUGGCUGAAUUGGGCCCUGGCACCACUCCCUCCCCAUCCUGUUUGCUUUGAAAUUGGGUCCUGGGGCCCAGUGCUACCCCCUCCCACCUCCUAUGCCCUGGGAUUGGGUCCAUGAGGCCCAGCACCGCUGCCUCCCACCCCCCGCCCCAUGUGCUGUGAUUGGGCUUUGGGUGCCCAACACCACCCCUUCUGCCAGCAUUGGGUCCUGGGUCCCAGCACCACCGCCUCCCAUCUCUGUGCACUGGGGUUGGGUCCCAGGGGCCAGUCACCACCCCUGCCUGUGCCCUAUACACUGGGAUUGGGCCCUGGGGCUUGGCAAUACCCUCACCUGACCCUGCACGCUGGGAUUGGGCACCUGAUCCAGUGCUCAAUCAAGGCCUGGGGCUUUCCACAGUCUGGAGAUUUAGUAUCACCACUUUUGCAUGGUCACAUUUCCAGACCUCUAGGGAGCCCUGUGGGCCCCCUGAUCUAGACAUAAAAGUUUGCAAUUUUCUAAAAUGAAAACUGAGAUUCUUAUACAUUCAGUUGUCUCUGGCAGCUGGGGUUUCAGCUAUCACAAGGCACAUGGACAUCAUCAGGGUUAGCCAUAUUAUGAUGAAGGCAGACACUAUGGAUCUGUUCGUACAGAAAUGAAUUGGUAACUUCCUACCAGUUCAACAGCCGCAGGGUAGGCCCUCGUGUGCAAUGCAGGAACUCUCAGAUAGGUUAGUCACUUAUUAAUUGGCUUCCUUGUGUGAUGUGCUUAUGGUAAAAUGCUAAUAUCUUAAAAUUACAACUUGUGCACUAUCUCAGGUUGAAUAUUAUUUUCUUGGUUUAUGAGCCAAAUUGUGCCCAAUGAUGUGGGGUGAGGAUGGAAAAGUUAGCUGCCUUUCUUCUAUGGUAACACUAUUCUUAGUGUCUUUCUCUAAUAAGUGAUUUUAAACCAAAAUGUGUGUUAAUACAGCUGACUAAUAGAUUGCAUUUUAACAUGCCCUAAUACCAGCUAAAAAUGUGAAUGUAUACAAAAGAUUAUUAUAAAUAAAGAAAUGAAAUUUAA